AACUUACAGGUUACAGCCUGAUUUAUCAGGCUGAUGGCUGGUGGCUUUUUAGUCACCAGCCU
Molecule: small RNA, 62 nt
Filed under: Lonsdalea quercina
Lineage: Bacteria; Pseudomonadati; Pseudomonadota; Gammaproteobacteria; Enterobacterales; Pectobacteriaceae
Description: Pseudomonas sRNA P26
Rfam family: Pseudomonas sRNA P26
About the family: P26 is conserved across many Gammaproteobacteria species and appears to be consistently located between the DNA directed RNA polymerase (beta subunit) and 50S ribosomal protein L7/L12 genes.
Source: Rfam by way of RNAcentral